Chelonoidis abingdonii (Abingdon island giant tortoise) is the source of this 96-nucleotide non-coding RNA. The record is from RefSeq and is a predicted model, not a curated record. NCBI's taxonomy places the organism in Eukaryota, Metazoa, Chordata, Testudines, Testudinidae.
GUGAGAAUGGCCAGGUAAGUUGAAAUAACAUACUUUGACUUCAGGUACAUGAAUAGCAUAGUUGAAGUUGUAUAUCUUAGAUUGAUCCCCCUCUCA